Molecule: long non-coding RNA, 1408 nt
Filed under: Ananas comosus (pineapple)
Lineage: Eukaryota; Viridiplantae; Streptophyta; Magnoliopsida; Poales; Bromeliaceae
Description: long non-coding RNA (ACOM_LNC000680)
Source: RNAcentral
CCGUGCGGCGCCCAUCUUUCCUGCUCGAAGAUGGAUAAGCCUUUGUCCCUAUUGCUAGCCCGGACCUUCGCGUCCUACGACUAAGUAUGCAAAGGAAAAUGACAAAGAGAAAGAGGCAGAGGUUCUCUCAAAAAACUAAGUGCUACACUACUUAAAAAUGAGAAUUACAACCUACAAAUAGCAUACAGCAACACACUCAAGCAAGACGGACUCUCUUGCCAGAGUCCGCGACUCCUUGCUCUUGCCGCGCUUGGUUGCCCUGGGCUCAGGCACAACAUCAACGAUGGCAGCUUCCGACGAAGACAUGGUUCCUUCUCGAACCGGCUUUGAUACCAACUGUCACGGCCUUAGCGUUUCUGUUCGCAAAGCCCGUGCGGCGCCCGCCUUCCUGCUCGAAGAUGGGCAAGCCUUCGUCCCUAUUGUUAGCCCGGACCUUCGCGUCCUACGACUAAAUAUGCAAAGGGAAUGAGAGAGAGAGAGAGGCAGAGGUUCACUCAAAAAACUAAGUACUACACUACUUAGAAAAGAGAUUACAACCCACACAUACACACACUCUCUCUUGUGUGUUUUGGCCUUAGCCAAACCCCUCUAUUUAUAGGCCUAAAGGUGCCUUUUCAACUCACCCACACACAUAACUCACCCAUUAUCACAUACAUAAUGAGCCCUCAUAAUGAGCCCUCAUAAAUGCCAAAAGCUCAAGAGUCACCCAUAACUCCCAUGAGUUUCAUAACCCUUGAGUUUCCCACAGCGGGUUGGGUUUGGGCCUCUUUGACAACCCGAUUCGACCCGUCUUCAACCCGAACUCGCUAAGCAGAUUUGGGCCAGGGACCGGGCUGCAUAGAAAUUUUUCUAAGUCCCUAACAUCACGGACUUAGCGUUUUCGUUCGCAAAGCCCGUGCGGCGCCCACCUUUCCUGCUCGAAGAUGGACAAGCCUUUGUCCCUGUUGCUAGCCCGGACCUUCGCGUCCUACGACUAAGUAUGCAAAGGGAAAUGACAAAGAGAAAGAGGCAGAGGUUCUCUCAAAAAACUAAGUACUACACUACUUAGAAAUGAGAAUUACAACCUACAAUUAGCAUACAAAUUAACACACUCUCUCUUGUGUGUCAUGGCCUUAGCCAGCCCCACUAUUUAUAGGCCUAAAUGUGCCUUUUCAACUCACCCACUAGCCACAUUAACUCACUCACUAUUACAUCAAUAAUGAGCCCUCAUAAUGAGCCCUCAUAAAUGCCAAAAGCUCAAGAGUCACCCAUAACUCCCAUGAGUUUCAUAACCCUUGAGUUUCCCACAGCGGGUUGGGUUUGGGCCUACUUGACAACCCGAUUCGACCCGUCUUCAACCCGAACUCGCUAAGCAGAUUUGGGCCAGGGACCGGGCUGUAUAGAAAUUUUUUUAAGUGCCUGACACAUG